Molecule: long non-coding RNA, 664 nt
Filed under: Cyanistes caeruleus (blue tit)
Lineage: Eukaryota; Metazoa; Chordata; Aves; Passeriformes; Paridae
Description: lncRNA (ENSCCEG00000020844.1)
Source: RNAcentral
GGAUGAAAGGGAGGUCUGCUGGGGUGGGGAGUGCUGUGCCAUCUCCUUGUGUCACAGCCAGCCCUGCCAGAGGCCACACGGCCAAUCACAUCCAGUGAUGGUGGCAUACAUCAGGCAGUAAAUCAUUAAAGUGCUCUGACUGCUCAGUUAGACCCUGCACUGGAACAUCUGGGUACCUCAUGCUGCCUGUGACUGCAUAAAGGCUGGAGUCAGGCUCUGAGUCUCACCACCCUCUCCCCUGUGCAGAUCCUUGUGCUUUGCCCCAGGGAGAGAGCCCUUCAGCUCAUUAUCAUUUUCUAAGCAACCAGUCUUGCAAGUGCAGCUUGGAGCAGAGCAUCUGCUGGAUUAUGUCUGCAGCCCUGAAUCUUUGGAAACUGCUGAAGCAGGCAAAGUCCCCUUGAAUGCAUCCCCAGAGAAGAUGGCUGAGGUAUUGAGGCGCCUCAGGUGCACAGCCAAGUGCCAGACCCCCCAGAGUGCACAAUGAAGAGCCACAGAGACAGAGAGAGGAAAAAAUACAUGCACCAGAACACAGCAUCCAGCUCCCAUACCAGAAAUGGAGAGAAAGUCCAAGGCCCUGGCUUGUCACCUGUUUAAUAGGCACAGCAAAAGGAAAUUUAUAAACCCAGUUCACUUGUUAUGAAUAAAAACUCUCUCAAGAAAUCCA